CAAAAAACAUCCAGCAAAAAUGUUUUUUUUCCAUUUAAGAGAUUUAGCAAUGAAGGAAAAGUAUUUCUGAAACCUUACUAUGUCAGUGAGAAAUUUACUGAAAUAGCUUAAAGAUAAUUUAGGGAACACAUCUACUGAAUAAGACUAGAUGCACAUAUACAGACACAACCACAUUAUAGAUGGAGUUCAGAUAUUGUAUAGUUUCUUGUGCAAGGAUCUUAAUAAAUCUCGUGUUGAGGACUCAUGCCCAAUCCUUGCUGACUAUUCUUUGCAGAAGGGCACGCCUCAAGGAGUAUGUAGUAACACACUGUUUAGUGGUUAGUACCAUCUAGGUGGUCAGGAAUCCCAGUUCCUACUUUACCACAGUUAGCCCUCCUUGAUACAUUGUUUUAACAGCACUAUAUCACUGUCCUACGAAAUAUGCCUGUUGGACCAGAUUAGAUCUCUAAACUCUAAAAGCCUCUGAGUAUCUAAAUUACUGAAUAUUCUUAAUGUGCUUGAUAGCUGGUUUUGAAUUUGAGAAAGCUGGUUAAACUUUUUCAAACUAAAAUUUUAAAAAUCCAGUGCAUCACCUAACUCCUUACUCCUCCAGAGAACUAUAUCCACACUGGGUUUCCUUUUAGCCUUGGGAGAACCCUCGGCUUUGGAUCAACUUUGGUUUCUGCUCUCAACCCCAGCCCUUGAUUUGUAGCUGUACAAACUUGCUCUACCAGUGAUGCAGCUAGUAAUAUACAAACAAAAGCAAUCACAGAAUGUCAUUAUAAAAACAAGAAUUGAAAUCUAAACAUUUGUUAAAAACAGGUAACAAGCUUUACUGUAACAAAGUUCACUGUGUUUUUUGGGUAGCAUUAUUAAGGAUAUAAAAAAAAAGCAAACUUCUUUUGGAAUUUGAGUGAAACUUGUUUUUUCCUUCCCCCACCCCCGCCGCAUCUCCAAGUGAAACUAUUGUUUAAUAAAAGUGAGUGAAAAUAAAUAUUUUAAUGCAAAAAUUAUUCUCAAGACAUAACAAGCUAAAAGCCUCACAGGAAUUUAGAUCUUUCACCCAUGAUUCCACCUCCUGCCUUUCUGUUUGUUUUUGUUUUGGUGUUAUUAAGCCACCUUAAAGCUUUUCUGAAUGAGGUGUAACAAGAAGAGAGUUGUUCAUGCUAAUGAGUGAAUGAUUGCUAUUAAAGGUUACUCUCCCUAAAAUCAGCUUUACUCAGAACUUGGUUGUAAUGUUGUGGAAACUACAGUUUUAGAUCAGCCUAAGAGCUGUAGUGUUAGCAUUAAUUUAUGAGGGGAAGAUAGAAAUACAGAGACGUGGUGGUGGGAUUCAUACUCAGGUCUGUUGGACCCUGAGCCCUUGUUCUGUCCAUCGUGGCACGUUGCCUUCGUGCAUAGUAGGUGAGUAUGUGUUGAGUGAAGUAACUCAUCUAGAACAAUAAGUUGCCCUCAGUGAUGUAUCUUUGAGAUUAUAGGAUACCUAUGUUGUUGCUGAUUCUCAGUACUUUAUACAGUGCCUGGUACACCAAAAUACUCAACAGAUUUUUUAGUUAAUGUGUGUUAAAGUGCUCUUGAUUCUUUUACUUGUUUUAGUGUUUUGUUUAACACAGAAUGUAUGUUCAAUAAUUUAAGUGAAUUAUAACUGUAGCUACAGAUGUGCCUAUCAUAUUGGUCUAUGCGGCUGCAUUCAUUUUGGUUGCUGACCAUAAAACUGCUUUUCCUUUAGUUUAGAAAGGUCUUUGGAGCUUUUAGGCUCUUAAUGUCAUUAUUUCAAUCAUAAGACAUUUAAACCUGAAACUUUUAACAGAUAAACUGCUGGCUUUCACACAGAUGGGCUCUUAUUUGGAAGGAAAUUUUAGGACUGUCUAGUCAGACUUCCCUCCUGUGCUUAAGGAAGCAUCACCACCAUCACAACUGCCACUAUUACUUCCAUUAGUUAUCACAUGCCAAGCACUAAACAUUUCACACAUGGCUCCUGUGAAGUCUCAUGUUGAUACGAUCUUUGAGGUGUAAUUAUCCCCACUUUGACAGUUCAGAAAAUCUGGGGUCAAUUUGAGGACAAACAGGUUAUCUAAGGUGGCAAAGCUAAGUUGGAACUCAGGCCUAUCUGACCCAAAGCCUGUGCCCUUUUCACUGUACUGCCCUCAACAAAGUUUCUUCCCUGCUUCUAGAUGGGACAGUCAUUAUCCUCUAGAUGAGUUUGUUUCAUUUUUUAACAACUCUUAUUAUUAGAAGAAAAUUUGAGAUAAUAUCUAUCCUUCUACCUCUUUAUUCAUUAAAGGUCUCUCUGAAUCCUGUAGAACAGUGGUGUCCCCAAUCUUUUUGGCACCAGGGACCGGUUUCGUGGAAGGCAAGUUUUCCAAGGUCUUUAAUAGAAGAUGGCAAAGCCCAGCCACAGCAGCUACGUCCUUCAGCAGCUAAACAACCAAAGGGAAUGGGGUUUUCUCUGUGACUGUUGUAUUGCAAUUGAUGACAUUUACUUUCAAGCACACAAAGCAGUUCUAGCUGCUUGUAGCUCCUAUUUUAGAAUGUUUUUCAUGAACCAUCAACAUAGUACUGCACAACUGAAUCUCAGCAACAUGAAAAUUAGUGCUGAGUGUUUUGAUCUCAUUUUGCAGUUCAUGUAUUUAGGAAAAAUUAUGACAGCUCCUUCCAGUUUUGAACAGUUUAAAGUGGCAAUGAACUACCUACAGCUGUACAAUGUUCCUGACUGCUUAGAAGACAUACAGGAUGCAGAUUGUUCUAGUUCAAAAUGUUCAUCUUCUGCUUCUAGCAAACAGAACAGCAAAAUGAUAUUUGGGGUGAGAAUGUAUGAAGACACUGUGGCUAGAAAUGGCAGUGAAGCUAAUAGGUGGUGUGCAGAGCCAAGUUCAACAGUGAAUACGCCACAUAAUAGAGAGCCUGAUGAAGAGUCGUUGCAAUUAGGUAAUUUUCCUGAGCCAUUAUUUGAUGUAUGUAAAAAGAGUUCUGUGUCCAAAUUAUCUACUCCAAAAGAACGUGUAUCACGACGCUUUGGACGGAGUUUUACCUGUGAUAGUUGUGGAUUUGGCUUUAGCUGUGAAAAACUAUUAGAUGAGCAUGUACUAACCUGUACUAACAGACAUUCAUACCAAAACACAAGAUCCUAUCAUAGAUUAGUGGAUAUUAGAGAUGGAAAAGACAGUAAUAUCAAAGCUGAAUUUAGUGAAAAGGAUUCUUCUAAAACCUUUUCUGCACAGACAGACAAAUACAGAGGAGACACAAGUCAGGCUGCUGAUGAUUCAGCUUCAACCACUGGAAGCAGAAAAAGUAGUACAGUGGAGUCUGAACUAGCCAGUGAAGAAAAGAGCAGAGCCGCUGAGAGGAAAAGAAUCAUCAUUAAGAUGGAACCAGAGGAUAUUCCUACAGAUGAACUGAAAGACUUUAACAUUAUUAAAGUUACUGAUAAAGACUGUAAUGAGUCCACUGACAAUGAUGAGUUAGAAGACGAAGCUGAAGAGCCAUUUUAUAGAUACUACGUUGAAGAAGAUGUCAGUAUUAAAAAAAGUGGUAGGAAAACUCUAAAACCUCGGAUGUCAAUAAAUGCUGAUGAAAGAGGUGGUUUAGAAAAUAUGAGGCCACCGAACAACAGCAGCCCUGUACAAGAAGACACUGAAAAUGCUUCUUGUGAGCUGUGUGGGCUCACAAUAACUGAGGAGGACCUGUCAUCUCAUUACUUAGCCAAACACAUCGAAAAUAUCUGCGCAUGUGGCAAAUGUGGACAAAUACUUGUGAAGGGUAGACAGCUUCAGGAGCAUGCCCAGAGAUGUGGAGAGCCCCAAGAUCUGACCAUGAAUGGGUUAGGAAAUGCCGAGGAGAAGAUGGACAUGGAAGAGAAUCCUGAUGAACAGUCAGAAAUAAGGGAUAUGUUUGUUGAAAUGUUGGAUGACUUUAGAGACAAUCAUUUCCAGAUAAACAGUAUCCAAAAAAAGCAGUUAUUUAAACAUUCUGCCUGUCCUUUUCGAUGUCCUAAUUGUGGCCAACGAUUUGAAACUGAAAAUCUAGUGGUUGAACAUAUGUCUAGCUGCCUAGACCAAGACAUGUUUAAGAGUGCCAUCAUGGAAGAGAAUGAAAGAGAUCACAGACGAAAGCAUUUUUGUAACCUGUGUGGGAAAGGAUUUUAUCAGCGGUGUCACUUAAGAGAACACUAUACUGUUCAUACCAAGGAAAAACAGUUUGUUUGUCAGACAUGUGGGAAGCAAUUUUUAAGAGAACGUCAGUUGCGCCUGCACAAUGACAUGCACAAAGGCAUGGCCAGGUAUGUCUGUUCCAUUUGUGAUCAAGGCAACUUCAGAAAACAUGACCAUGUACGGCAUAUGAUUUCUCAUUUAUCUGCUGGUGAGACUAUAUGCCAGGUCUGCUUUCAGAUAUUUCCAAAUAAUGAACAGUUGGAACAGCACAUGGAUAUUCAUCUGUAUACAUGUGGAAUAUGUGGAGCAAAAUUUAACUUGAGGAAAGAUAUGAGAUCACAUUAUAAUGCCAAGCAUUUGAAAAGAACAUAAGGAUUUUCUACUGUAUAAUGUUUAGCUGAUAGGAGACAAAACACCAAAGCAAAGGAUAUGAGCUAUUUAGAAAAUGAUUUUAUAAGAUGACUUGCUGAAAAAAAUUUUCAAGGCCCUUUACCUUUAAUAUUUUUGUUUAGGAUCUUAAGUAUCUACAUUUUAGGUGUUAUUAAAUGUUUAUCAUUUUUGUUAUUUCUUAAUAGAAUUCUUUGUUUUUAGUUUGUUUUAGCUAUGAUUAAAAUUACUUUUAAAUGUAGAUUACAAGUGGUUGUUACCCCUUCAGUGACUAUUGAAGCUUAGGUUGUUUUUUUUUAAUCGAUAAGGUGAUGAUGUCACAAUUUUUAUUUUAUUUUGUUUCUUAAGGCUACCUUGUGAAAAUUUAAACCCAAUAUCAUUGGCCAUUCCUGUUUAAAUUAAAAAAAAUUUUUUUUAAGUAGUUAUUUAAAACUAUCCCAUUUACUUUAGCUUUUUUUUUUGUAAGUUGAACAAUGAUUUAGCCACUGUUUAUUUCCCUGUCUUACCAGUGAAAUUCAUAUUCUUAAAUUGAAAACUUAGUAGGCAGGUUAGGUGCGCUGAAUCUAACCUUGAAGGUUGACAUGGGCUCAAACUUGGCCUAAAAAGAUUGAUGGACCUAAGGAAAUUCCUAUAGAUGAAUAUUUCCUAUGAUUGAUAAAAUAUUAUCAUUUAAUAAUCACAUUUAAAACUUAUAUUAAGUGUAAAAACCCAAUGACUUUACUCCACUUGACAAAUUAGUGGGGACAAGUCAUUUUGUUUUGUGAUAUUAAAUUUAACUAUGAUAGUUAAUUAAAAAAGCAUAUCUUGUAUUCAUUUAAAAUAAUUUAAAAUAUUUUGAUUUCUAAAGUGUGUUAGCUUAUCAGUUAUUUUUGUUUAUAAAUAGAAUUUAAUAGCUUUCUAGGAAGAUGACAUCUAAAGGAAAAUGAUUUUUCACCUUUAAAAUGACAUACUUUUGGAACUUACUUUGAGAUUUGAGAAAGCUGCCAUGUAUAUUGAUAAAUCUAAUAAAGAAAUCAAUCACAAAUCUGGUUGUUCUAUAAAAGUAGAGUGUGCAAAAAAAACAUGUCUUGUGUUUUAUACUAAGAUUUGGAGAAAAUGUGUUAUGGAAAAUUAGUUUAUCAACAUGCUUUUUUUUUUUCUGUAAAGGACUAUAAAAUUUGAGGACUAUAAAAUAAUAACAAUAUAUGAAUGGAGACAGUUUAUCAUUUUUUAGAUAAAGUAGUAUUACUGUUAGUUGUUGCUGACACGAGGUCUACAUGAAUUACAUAUGAAAACUGGCCCACAAAUCAACACAUCUGUUGGAUAGAAUGCGUUUUAAUGUAAAUUACUUGCAUAGUAAUACCCGUCUCAUAAUGAAAGGGAUUUUAAAUAACUCCUAUAUUUAAAAGUAUAAUUUUGUGAUUAUGAACAGUAAUUUAACAGUAUUGUUCUUUUUGUUUACAUCACAUUUUAAAGAUAUGCAAGUCCUAUUUUUGUAUACAAUUUGCAUAAAAGAACAAGUUUGCCAAGAGAACUGAGAGACAUAUUGACUAGCAUAGAUUUAGUUGAAAGAAAAGACCAGAGUGUGUGCUCAGAGAUUUGUGAGGACAUGUUGAGGUGUUACGUAAUAAUUGAAAUAGUACAGGAGCCAUACAGUAUUAGAACAAAAUAAUGGGAAGUAGAAAUGGGGGAAAUACACAAAAAAGACAAAUGAGAAAUCAGGAUUUUUUUUAAAAAGCCAUAUAGCAGAAAAAGCAAGAAAAAUGAUUCAUCUUAGUUCUUGGUUACAGUAGUUUAUCAAGUUAUUAAAUCUGAAAUGCAACUUAAAAUGAAAAAUGUAUAUACAUUACUGAUAGAAACCUGAUAAAAGUUCUGUAACAAACCCAGAGACCAUCAGAGAAUAGAGAGAAGCUCUCAAACCAAAUUUCCAAAGUAUAUAGCAUCUUAGUAGACAUCACUUUCUUUGGAACCACUUUUUUCCAUGACCCUCUUCAAAGCCUCUAUUGCAAAGGCUCUCCCACCAUUAAAGAACAAGUUUGUUGCUUAGUCCCUAGGUUGUGUUCGACUCCUUUUGCGACCCCAUGGACUGUAGCCGGCCAGGUUCCUAUGUUCAGGGGGUUUUCCAGGCAAGAAUACCAGGGUGGGUUGCCAUUUCGUUUUCCAGGGGAUCUUCCUGACCCAGGGAUUGAACCCAUGUCUCUUGCAUUGGCAGGUGAAUUCUUUACCACUGAGCCACCUGGGAAGCCUCUAAAGAACAGAAACCUUUCUAAAUAUACCACUCUGUAAAAGAUGAUUUCUAACCCGCCUUUCUAAAUACUGUCACUCUGUAAAAAAUGAUUUCUAACCCAUUGGGAAAGGGGUUUAGUUUUAGACACGUACUAACAGCCAAUUAGCAAGCAAAUAUAUAAACAUUAAACAUAAUCUCUAAUUUUACAUAACUGAGAUGUUUAUAGUUUCACAAAGCCACACCGCAGGAUGUGUUUUCCCUGUGUGUUACACAGGACACACGCCUGUUGUUUUGCAGCUAGCUACAGGCAGUACAAGUUUCUUUGAGUAUAUGUAUAAUUUUCCUUAUUAAGAAAAAGUUCAUUUAAUGACUACAUGCCUCCUUUUAAAACUAGGGGGAGUGAAAACUAUCCAACACCUCUCUAGCCCAGUUUUCUCUUCUUCCCUCUCUCGGAGUGGAGCUACAGAGCUAUGCCUACUUAAUACCGCUUCUUGCCCUCCAGUGCUAUGAAGACAGUGAAUCAAGGUUGUGGAUGUUGCCUCCUCCUACUGUCUUUGUCAUUUAAGUGAUUAGGCUCCAAAUGUGAAAAUGAAGGGGAAAUCUAGAUAGGUAUAUGUGGAAUCUUGUUUUUUUUUACAAAUACGGUCUUUCUUAAAGGGCCUUUUGUUCUCCAGCAAAAAUUUUGGGGGAAUGGAUUCAGUACUUAGCAAGCUUGCCACCAAUUCCAGCGCAGCUCAGAUGUUUAUAAUUUUUAGUAAACAGGACUAAGAAUCUCAGAGAUUAGUGGAUUAGGACUCAGAAAUUUGUCUUAAUCCUGUAUUUUUAAAGUAAGAAUAUUCAGAGAAAUGACUUACAUGAGUAAAAUGGCUAAAGUUUAAAGUUUGGGUAUAAACAAAAAGAAGCACUCCAAGGGCUAGAUACAAAAAUUAAAUAAUUAAAAUAAGGACAGAGUUUUCUAGAGUAGUCAGCACCAAUUAAAAGGAAAAAUAAUAGACUUAAGUAAAAAUCACAAGUAUUGUAGUUAAGAACAAAAAUAUGAGACAGAAACAUUGAGUUAAAGUGAGGUGAGUAUAGAAUUUGAUAGGCUAAAAUAAUCUGAUUAAUUCCAUUAGAGCUACAGAAUGUCUAAUGAAACAGCUUUUAUGAACAUGCCACACAUAAACAUGUGAGAUAAUAUUCCAAUGUUUAUAAAAAGUGGGAAGAGAAGCUGGUGGUGGUUUGUAACUUUCUCUGGUUAAACAAUACAUGUUCCUAUAUAUCACUAGUUAAAAAGAACUGUAUUUAAUUGAUCUGUGGAAAAUUCCCCAAAGAACCAGAGUGAACAGUUAGUAAGCUAAACAUAAAACUUGUUAACAAAAUGCUAAAUUAGUACCAACCAGGAGAAAAACCUGAAUAUGUAUAUGCAUACAUAGUUGAGAAUAAAGUAGUUUGGUAUAUUUAAUUCUAAAUGGGUUUUAUGAGUUACACAUUUUUUUUUCGCCAUUAAUCUACUUUGAUUAGCUCCUCAUCAUUCAUCGCCACCCCAACCUCCUUUGUGACAUUUGCUUCUCGGUGAUAGAAGUGCUCUGAAGGCUUUGACAAUGCCUAAGAUUCCAGGGUACCAAAAGGCUCCGUGGGAACAUACCUUUGUGGAAUGUCUCCUAUCUCCUGAUACCUGAGGUGCAGUAAACAAAGUGAUAGAACGAAUGCCAGGGAACUGGCAAGUAAAGUUAGAUUUGGUGUUAAGAACUGUGGCCCAGAUUUGGAAAUCUAUGAACUAUCCAUCCCAGGGCUCUCAGUAAUCCCAUCAUCCAUUUCAUUAACACUCUUUUACUCUGCUAAACACUUGAUACAGAUGUAAUUUUAAUGAGUCCUCAUGGCCUUAUGAGUGGUCAAAUAGGGCCUUCUAAACCUCUGGAGAAGUGAGAUCUGAAUUUGGAGAGGACAUGGGGAAGAAUCAAUCAUCAACAGAUAAUCUUUAAGUCCAGACCCAGGAAUAUCAGAUCUGAAGUGACACCAUCUUUUCUGUCUUCUGACAAACCUCAUCAACCCCAAAAGUUCCAGUUGCAAGGAUCCAAGAAAACUCAGUAAAGAUCACUUUGGAA
This is a non-coding RNA of Odocoileus virginianus texanus, 8807 nucleotides long. The record is from RefSeq and is a predicted model, not a curated record. NCBI's taxonomy places the organism in Eukaryota, Metazoa, Chordata, Mammalia, Artiodactyla, Cervidae.